Molecule: long non-coding RNA, 440 nt
Organism: Grammomys surdaster
Lineage: Eukaryota; Metazoa; Chordata; Mammalia; Rodentia; Muridae
Exons: 4
Source: RefSeq, a predicted model, not a curated record
GGACCAUGGAGUGCCGUGGAUGGAUCAAAAACUGUUCUGAGUAGCAACUUCUAUCAAAAGGUUGAAUAAUAUUCUGUUGUAUGGAUCUGUUACAGUUUAUAUUUAAAGGAACUUUAAAGAGACAUCAGCAGAAACUGUCAUUGACUUGUGAGUAAAGAAUGAUAGUCUGUCUCAUGCUGUGCUCUUCAUGGCUUGGAGAUUGACCUAACUGGGGCUGCAAGAGAAUGAAGAAAUGUCAGACACCGAAGAAACAACGGACGCACAUACGGAAAAGCUGGGAUCCUCUCUGAUGGUUCCUGACUGUCUAUGACCUUAUCAGAUGGGAUCUCCCAAGACACUCAUCGAGGUCCUGCUGCCACGGAUGGAACCUGAGCUGCCAUGCCUUCAUAACAGGCAAGCACACCUAUUGCCAGGCCUGACUACCUGAGUUUGAUUCCCAA